Populus trichocarpa (black cottonwood) is the source of this 303-nucleotide non-coding RNA. The record is from Rfam. NCBI's taxonomy places the organism in Eukaryota, Viridiplantae, Streptophyta, Magnoliopsida, Malpighiales, Salicaceae.
GCCGAGCCUGGUAGCGUGGGCUUGUGAUCCAAGUGGAGGCAUUAAGGUGAUGGAACGUUGAUCUUGUCCAGAUGGCUGAGUCUAGUGUGAUGAAUUUCUGGCCCGCCCAUUCCAAGCCGAGAGCUGAGCUAUGUGACCCCAGCGAAGGCUUGGGCUACAUGUCUCCUAAAGUGGGGGGCAAUGCGUGAGGCUGGUUUCACAGAGCAGCGACAACCUCCCGCUCCUGGCAGUGGAAGGACAACGGGCUGUUGUCACCUAGGCUCAUAUUGUCUGAUGGGCUGAUAAAACUGGACCAUCACUUUU